AAAAGCUCGUAAUCCAAUCUGUGUCCCGCGCCGCCAGUUCAUCGCUCGCGGUGUUUAACUGGCGUGUCCGCGGGACGUCCUGCCGGUGGGCUUAGCCCCCCAAAGGGCGGCCCAACUUCAAAUCCCACCGCGGUGCUCUUCACUGAGUGUCGAGGUGGGCCGGCACGUUUACUUUGAACAGAAUUAUAGUGCUUAAAGCAGGCUAAAACUUCGCCUGAAUACUGUGCUGCAUGGAAUAAUGGAAUAGGACCUCGGUUCUAUUUUGUUGGUUUUCGGAACCCCGAGGUAAUGAUUAAUAGGAACGGAUGGGGGCAUUCGUAUUGCGACGUUAGAGGUGAAAUUCUGGAAUUCGCCGCAAGACGGACAGAAGCGAAAGCAUUUGCCAAAAACGCUUUCAUUGAUCAAGAACGAAAGUUAGAGGUUCGAAGGCGAUCAGAUACCGCCCUAGUUCUAACCAUAAACGAUGCCAGCUAGCGAUCCGCCGACGUUCCUCCGAUGACUCGGCGGGCAGCUUCCGGGAAACCAAAGCUUUUGGGUUCCGGGGGAAGUAUGGUUGCAAAGCUGAAACU
RNAcentral lists this ribosomal RNA (569 nucleotides) under Riolus sp. CAK250. Its description in RNAcentral is "SSU rRNA". It matches the Rfam family "Eukaryotic small subunit ribosomal RNA", at positions 622 to 1144 of the family's 1831-position model. The record is from RNAcentral. Lineage: Eukaryota; Metazoa; Arthropoda; Insecta; Coleoptera; Elmidae.